Molecule: ribosomal RNA, 253 nt
Filed under: uncultured bacterium
Lineage: Bacteria
Description: partial 16S ribosomal RNA
Rfam family: Bacterial small subunit ribosomal RNA
Source: RNAcentral
GACAGAGGUGCCAAGCGUUAGGCGGAAUCACUGGGCUUAAAGCGUGUGUAGGCGGAUCGUUAAGUACCUUGUGAAAUCCCACGGCUCAACCGUGGAACUGCUGGGUAUACUGGCGAUCUUGAGCCACCUAGGGGCAACUGGAACAAGCGGUGGAGCGGUGAAAUGCGUAGAUAUCGCUUGGAACGCCAACGGUGAAAACAGGUUGCUGGGGGUGUGCUGACGCUGAGACACGAAAGCCAGGGGAGCGAACGGG